Molecule: long non-coding RNA, 773 nt
Filed under: Marmota monax (woodchuck)
Lineage: Eukaryota; Metazoa; Chordata; Mammalia; Rodentia; Sciuridae
Source: RNAcentral
CAAAACUGGACCUUCAUUUCUAUCCAGUAAAUCUGUCACAAGAUGAACCAGGAUAUAGAGAUAUAUGUAACUUUUUAACAUCUUUUUCUUUUCAAAUUACAACAAAUAUUUGGAAUUUACUGCUGCAGUCUCAAAUGUGCUUAUCAUAAUAGUGGCCGAAACUGGAAGACAUUUUUAAAAAAACCUGAAGUCAUCCAUACUUGCCAUUUAUUAGUCUUCUUGUUUGGAGCAAAAGGCUAAGAAUUCACAAAUACCACGACCUAAGCACCUGUUUCAAAUUAAACGUCAGCCUUCAGCUUGCAAAAUAAUUUUUUGAUAAUUAAGCAAAUUGCAGAAGACCCAUCAAUUGCUUUUUUUCUUCAGGGAGAAGUCAGCAGGAUAACUGCACCCUACGGGCUUCUUUCUGUGUUGAAUUUGAAAGGUGAAACAAAAGAAAAGCAAUCUUUUCCAAUCCAAACCAUGGAGGUAAUGUGUAGAAAGGUAUCCAUAUUUCAGUAGGGAAAGUGGCUGGAUAAAAGAAGCAGGACUACUCGCUCUAGAAGACAACAUAGAAAUACCGGCCACAUCCUGAGUUCAGAAUUUUGUUUUGAAAUGAAUAAAAAGCACCUAAAUGUAAGGAAAGUGUUCAUCCUGUGUGAGAAGAAUUUUCACAUGGUCCAUCAGACGCAGUCGGCUUCCCGGGGGCCUGCACGCCCCCAGCCCAGAAGCCAAAUGGCCAAAUGGCCUAGGCGCUCCUCACUCUGCCAUCUUCGCUUCUUCUCUAUUGUUCUUUC